GAUGUGUUGAAACACUCGCUGACCACCAAACCGUGAAGCCGGUUGCCACAGUAACAAGCCUCUGAAGACAAUGCUGCAACCUGGUACCUUCGACAACAAACAGGGAAGAUGACCCUUCAUGCUCUUCUACGGUUCGUCUCCAACUCACCCCUCAUCCAGGCAGCGCACACAACAGGUUACCGGGUCAAGGUCACGGGCACCCUUGGGUGCACGAAGACUAAGGGAAGAGGAGCUGGCGUUGAUGCACCCGAUGAACCACGGCGAACUCCCCUGACCCGGUAAGUAGGCCGCUGCAGACAAGCGGUAAAAAUACAGGUGCAAUGCAACGAAAGAGUAGAGCAAAACACCGAUCAUAUCGGGGAAGUUUCCGGACACAGGCCGCAAACAGAGCAAAGCUAGGCAUGGACUGCGUUUGAUUUGGGCGAAGGAGAGGAAGGAGAGGUGAAGAGUGGAAAAAGAAAAGCAGGUGCACUGACACCACAAGCCCCGCGCGCACACGGUGUGUGUGGGAGGUGAGAACAAACAAUGUAACUGUAUGCAAACGGUGGAAACAGUAGGACGAAGAGGAGGAGGGAGGAGCACAAUUCACUGAUCGAGGGUCAACCGGAAAAAUAUAUAGGCCUGUUAAUGUGGCAGCGAUAAAUUAGGAUGCACGCGUGAUCAUUACAUUUGAGUAGAAAGGGAAAUGCAUUAAAAGUUUUUGACUGAAGGUCAGAGUUUAGUUCGCGUCUUUAAGUGCAUUUCACGCAGUGCUGCUGAGGGCCAAGAUUUUGGGCAGGUGGUGGCCAUUUUUGAGAAUUUAAAUAAAUGCGCCGCUGCCCUGCAAUUAUGAAAUGAAACCGCCCCUUCGGUGACUUACAUCCGUCUUUCAACUACUCCUGCGUUUCAAUUACGAUGGUCACCUGUGCGUAACAGACCGGAAUUUAGGCUUCAGCGUAAAAUAGGAAACAGGCCACAGCUUCGCUCAAUGUUGCUUCUGGGUUACAAAUUUAAAAUAAAAUAAUAAUGUGGGCUAAUAAGACAGAAACUCGUGACUGCGUCAAACCAAACACGGAGUGUAAAAAAAAAUAAAUAAAAAAGCUUCUCCUUUUCUGUCUUUGACUAAUGUAGGCUAUAAAACGAGUCUGUUUCACGCCGUCUUAAACUGAACUGAAGCUUCUGCGCUCCAGGCAGGUUUAUAAACUACUAUAUCGAAAGUAGAUCAUGACUUAUUUAUUACAGGAUAUAACUUUGUAGCUGCGUAAAGCCCUGAAGCCAGUAGUCACGAUAUUGAUUUGAUCAUGCAGUAGCCACUUAGACGUCGCUUUGCCUUCUAUGUUUUAUCGUGUCAGUAGGAAAUCUGCCGCCAGAUUCUAUUUUAAAUAACCAGCAUUGGACCAUAUUCCAGACGACCUGAACCUAUCAACGCAUCAGCGCUAUUCAAUAAGUAUGAACCUUAAAACGUGAAUCUGGUGUUAAAAUUGUCUUGAACAGAUUUCACGAAGAGACAAAAUGGCAACGUAGUGACUCAUUCUGCAAAUAAGCCUUAUUGUCUUAAGUUGUCCCUCUGCUUCGAUCAGGGUCGUCAUUUAGUUGCUUAACUCAAAUAAAAUUAUUACGCUGCGUCAUUCAUUUUAAACUGGGAAUGUAGCCGCAGUCAGUUUUUGCGUUUGGUUUAACAAUGCACUCGAUUUCUUCCAAAUGCCUCCGCAUCUUAUUCGCAGAUUAAGCCUGAAGUGUCGAGUGGAAAGGGGGCAAAAACGGAUGCGGUGCCAGUCUUCUUCUGAAGAGCCCAACUUGCCCUGUUGAGUCCUUUGCUGGGUAACAAAAUACAUAUCCCCGCCGUAGAGCUAACUCCGCCGGUCCACCUUAAAACCCUCUUCCGGUUUUCUGACAUCCCCUUUAAGAGAAAUUUCCAGGCCUCUGUGUGAGCAGCAGGGGGCGCUGUCAGACCGCACCAUGUCAUCGUGCAGACUGUAGCAGUGAGAGGCACAGCGGGGGAAUCAAACACAGUUUCUGAACGCAUUUUUAUACGGAAUACGCGCAUAUUUUGUCGAUUUCGUUUCGACUCUACACUCGGGGAUCCUCAAACGUUUUUGGCACCAUAAAAACACAAAGUUGAGACCCGCGGAACCCCAGAAACCAUAAUUUAUUAAAUCUAAACUCCUAAAUAAUGUAAUUUUUAUGUCUUGUUUUAAUAUAGACUCAACUACACACGGCAGUAAAACAGCUGUGGGAGAGAGGCUUGGAUUAUCAGCCUAUAUAUUAAAUUGGGACCACUCCAUGUGAAUUAAUUUAUAUUGAAAACACAAUAUAAAUACGGCGUGGGACCCCUAGGAGCCCCCUCCGAGGACCCCCGGAGUUUCCCGGAUCCCGGUUUUAAAAGCUUUCUCUCCCCAAAAAACGCUAAACAUCGUCGUGAAGCGCCGCUGUCGCGUCGGUGCGUAAAACCCACCUCAGGCCUACAAGCUCGACCGAAGCCUGUAAAAUUCGUUAAGCGCGCGCUUUGUUUUCGUCGUGUGCACGCGGGGCUGCGAUUAACAAGUGAUCAAAUCAACGAAAUCUUUACACACAAGCUGUUAGAUCAGCGUUACGCAGCUGCGUAACGGAGAGACCCAAUAAACGGGGCGAAUCGUUAUGUAAGCGCCCGCAGUCUGCGCCCCUACCGAGGAGUCCGCUGGA
Molecule: long non-coding RNA, 2661 nt
Organism: Mugil cephalus (flathead mullet)
Lineage: Eukaryota; Metazoa; Chordata; Actinopteri; Mugiliformes; Mugilidae
Exons: 2
Source: RefSeq, a predicted model, not a curated record